AUUGAACGCUGGCGGCAGGCCUAACACAUGCAAGUCGAACGAGUGGCGGACGGGUGAGUAAUGUCUGGGAAACUGCCCGAUAGAGGGGGAUAACUACUGGAAACGGUGGCUAAUACCGCAUACUAUCGGAUGUGCCCAUAUGGGAUUAGCUAGUAGGUGGGGUAACGGCUCACCUAGGCGACGAUCUCUAGCUGGUCUGAGAGGAUGAUCAGCCAAACUGGAACUGAGACACGGCCCAGACUCCUACGGGAGGCAGCAGUGGGGAAUAUUGCACAAUGGGCGCAAGCCUGAUGCAGCCAUGCCGCGUGUAUGAAGAAGGCCUUAGGGUUGUAAAGUACUUUCAGCGGGGAGGCGUUACCCGCAGAAGAAGCACCGGCUAACUCCGUGCCAGCAGCCGCGGUAAUAC
Molecule: ribosomal RNA, 406 nt
Filed under: uncultured bacterium
Lineage: Bacteria
Description: partial 16S ribosomal RNA
Rfam family: Bacterial small subunit ribosomal RNA
Source: RNAcentral